This 873-nucleotide ribosomal RNA is filed under the name Atypoides riversi. RNAcentral describes it as "eukaryotic LSU rRNA". It matches the Rfam family "Eukaryotic large subunit ribosomal RNA", at positions 363 to 892 of the family's 3401-position model. Lineage: Eukaryota; Metazoa; Arthropoda; Arachnida; Araneae; Antrodiaetidae. The record is from RNAcentral.
GUUGCAAAGAACUUUGAAGAGAGAGUUCAAGAGUACGUGAAACUGCUGAGAGGCAAACUGGUGGGCCCUCGAAAUCCCGCAUGCGGGGAGAUUCAGUCGGGUGUCGGCGGCCGUCUCCCGCGAGUUCGUUGCAACCGAAGAUCGGGGCACGUUCUAGGAGGCGCGUUCGUCAGAACCCGACGCAUUUCUCGCCCGCACGAGAGGACGCCGCAGCCGGUCGGGUAGCUGCGCGUGUCGGCCAUGAGGACGUGGCAGCGGCAGGUGACCGGCGGCCCUAGGCCUCUCUCGGAGGCACUAACGGUCGACGGUUGAUUAGCCGGCUCGUCCGUGGCGCGACACCCGACCGAGGUCGAGAAGAGAGAGUUCCGUGGCGGAAUCCCGGAACGAAUCCACUACUUUCUAACUUGAGAGCGAGCCGUCGGACAGGCGCGUUCCUGCGUGGUCGGGCAGUCACCGAACUGGUCGAUCUGGUGGGAGCGCGUCGCUGGUUUCCGAGUCUGGAUCUCGCGGAGGAUGGAAGGCUGGCGGCGAGUAGGUCGGUAACCCACCCGACCCGUCUUGAAACACGGACCAAGGAGUCUAACAUGUGCGCGAGUCGCAGGGUCUUGAAUAGGCCCACAGGCGAAAUGAAAGUGAAGGCCGCCGCCGCUUCCGAGCCCCUUUUCGGGGGGGCGAGGGAGCGUCGCGGCCCGGUCGGGACUCGCACGUGACACGGCACGUGACGAAGCACCGACGACCCGCCCUGGUUCUAUCUACGAUAGGAACUCAAACGGAGUUCGAGCGCACACGUUGGGACCCGAAAGAUGGUGAACUAUGCCUGGGCAGGACGAAGCCAGAGGAAACUCUGGUGGAGGUCCGCAGCGGUUCUGACGU